This 369-nucleotide ribosomal RNA is filed under the name uncultured bacterium. RNAcentral's name for it is "bacterial SSU rRNA". It matches the Rfam family "Bacterial small subunit ribosomal RNA", at positions 527 to 896 of the family's 1533-position model. The record is from RNAcentral.
AGAGGGUGCAAGCGUUAAUCGGAAUUACUGGGCGUAAAGCGCGCGUAGGUGGUUUGUUAAGUUGGAUGUGAAAUCCCCGGGCUUAACCUGGGAACUGCGUUUGAAACUGGGGAGCUGGAGUGUGGAAGAGGGGGGUGGAAUUCCAGGUGUAGCAGUGAAAUGCGUAGAGAUCUGGAGGAACACCGAUGGCGAAGGCAGCCCCCUGGGCUAGCACUGACGCUCAUGCACGAAAGCGUGGGGAGCAAACAGGAUUAGAUACCCUGGUAGUCCACGCCCUAAACGAUGUCAACUGGUUGUCGGGGAAGCAAUUCCUUGGUAACGAAGCUAACGCGUGAAGUUGACCGCCUGGGGAGUACGGCCGCAAGGUUA